RNAcentral lists this ribosomal RNA (548 nucleotides) under Glomus sp. RNAcentral's name for it is "SSU rRNA". It matches the Rfam family "Eukaryotic small subunit ribosomal RNA", at positions 548 to 1098 of the family's 1831-position model. The record is from RNAcentral. Lineage: Eukaryota; Fungi; Glomeromycota; Glomeromycetes; Glomerales; Glomeraceae. RNAcentral also lists the same sequence under 1 other name.
UUGGAGGGCAAGUCUGGUGCCAGCAGCCGCGGUAAUUCCAGCUCCAAUAGCGUAUAUUAAAGUUGUUGCAGUUAAAAAGCUCGUAGUUGAAUUUCGGGAUCAAUUUGUUGGUCGUGCCUCGGUACGUACUGGCAUUAUUGGUUUCUACCUUCUGAAGAACCUUGAUGUCAUUAAUUUGGUGUCUUGGGGAAUCAGGACUGUUACUUUGAAAAAAUUAGAGUGUUUAAAGCAGGCAUACGCUUGAAUACAUUAGCAUGGAAUAAUGAAAUAGGACGUUUGAUUCUAUUUUGUUGGUUUCUAGGAUCGACGUAAUGAUUAAUAGGGAUAGUUGGGGGCAUUAGUAUUCAAUUGUCAGAGGUGAAAUUCUUGGAUUUAUUGAAGACUAACUACUGCGAGAGCAUUUGCCAAGGAUGUUUUCAUUAAUCAAGAACGAAAGUUAGGGGAUCGAAGACGAUCAGAUACCGUCGUAGUCUUAACCAUAAACUAUGCCGACUAGGGAUCGGAUGAUGUUAAUUUUUUAAUGACUCAUUCGGCGCCUUACGGGAAAC